GGGUGGUCUGAUGGUAGUGGGUUAUCAGAACUUAUUAACAUUAGUGUCACUAAAGUUGGUAUUCAACCCGCCCACUGCUAAAUUUGACUGGCUUUAA
RNAcentral lists this Y RNA (97 nucleotides) under Propithecus coquereli (Coquerel's sifaka). Its description in RNAcentral is "Y RNA (ENSPCOG00000007791.1)". It matches the Rfam family "Y RNA". Rfam says of the family: Y RNAs are components of the Ro ribonucleoprotein particle (Ro RNP), in association with Ro60 and La proteins. The Y RNAs and Ro60 and La proteins are well conserved, but the function of the Ro RNP is not known. Lineage: Eukaryota; Metazoa; Chordata; Mammalia; Primates; Indriidae. The record is from Rfam by way of RNAcentral.